Molecule: ribosomal RNA, 207 nt
Filed under: uncultured bacterium
Lineage: Bacteria
Description: partial 16S ribosomal RNA
Rfam family: Bacterial small subunit ribosomal RNA
Source: RNAcentral
CUCGUAGGUGGCUUUGUAAGUCAGGUGUGAAAGCCCACGGCUCAACCGUGGAAUUGCACUUGAUACUGCAUCGCUAGAGUAUAGGAGAGGGAAGUGGAAUUUCUGGUGUAGGAGUGAAAUCCGUAGAGAUCAGAAGGAACACCCGAGGCGAAGGCGACUUCCUGGACUAUUACUGACACUGAGGAGCGAAAGCGUGGGGAGCAAACA